This is a long non-coding RNA of Microcebus murinus (gray mouse lemur), 979 nucleotides long. RefSeq lists it as uncharacterized. NCBI's taxonomy places the organism in Eukaryota, Metazoa, Chordata, Mammalia, Primates, Cheirogaleidae. The record is from RefSeq and is a predicted model, not a curated record.
GCAGCGCGGGAUUUGCGAUUUGGUUUCAUAGACUGGAAGUCCCAGUGGGCAGCGCCCUUCUUUAACUUCCAGUUCUCUUUCCUCCAGAAGAAGCAUUAUCUUUCCCUUCCCUACCGCUGUUAUAUACCAUGCAUGAGCCCGGGUGACCAGUGAAUAAGCUCAGGAGCUGUCCAUUUGAGGAAAACUAUGAUAAGCAGUGGGUAUAGAAGACCCCUGAAGAGCUGUAAUGAGGGAAGUAGAACACAGACAACCAUGGUCUAUCCAGACAAAAGGAGUAUCCGAUGCCAGAUUCUAACUUUCCUGAUGGUAUUUACCAUCUGUUAUUAAGAAGAUCAUGCUGAUGUACAAGAUGUAAUCUACAGAAGAGAUGAUUAUUUUUAAAAGCUUUUGGGAAGAUAUUUAUGUACAUAUAUUGGACAAAUACUUAUCUGUUCUCUCCUCCAGUUUUAAGUUUGUGCAUCAUGAUGCAUUGUACAGCUCCAAGUUCCUUUUUACUUUUGUUAAAAUGCUUGUCACACUUUUCCUUUGUUUUAAAGAUGUUAAGUCUGUCAAAGUGAAAUGUUCCAUAUUACACUUCUGUUUCCUUAGGAUAAAAAUGAAAUAUAAGCUAUUUCUAAAUGAAGAAAAUUGCUUCACUGCAUUCUCUCUCUCAUUCUCUUUCUCUCUCUCUCUCUCUCUUCCUGAGAAUGAUUACACAAAUGUUUGCUUUCAUGAAAUACCCCUACUCAAUUUUGGGGCUUAUGCACAUAUUUUUUAAUCUUAAUUUUCUUAUUGGUAUACUUAUUUAGCAGUUCAAUUUCACCUUUUGAAUUUUCAUGAAAAGUAACAGCUUCACUGAUAUAUUUGAUCACAUCUUAAUCCUUACUAUCACAUAAACAAUUUCACUUAAUUUCAACAUACAUAUCAACCUAUCCCUUAAAACAAAAUAGUUUAUGAUAUAUCGGUAUAGACUUUAAAAGGAUAUAUGAAAAUAAAAUGA